Molecule: transfer RNA, 81 nt
Filed under: Acetomicrobium flavidum
Lineage: Bacteria; Thermotogati; Synergistota; Synergistia; Synergistales; Acetomicrobiaceae
Also listed under: 1 other name
Description: tRNA_Leu_TAG
Rfam family: tRNA
About the family: Transfer RNA (tRNA) molecules are approximately 80 nucleotides in length. Their secondary structure includes four short double-helical elements and three loops (D, anti-codon, and T loops). Further hydrogen bonds mediate the characteristic L-shaped molecular structure. tRNAs have two regions of fundamental functional importance: the anti-codon, which is responsible for specific mRNA codon recognition, and the 3' end, to which the tRNAs corresponding amino acid is attached (by aminoacyl-tRNA synthetases). tRNAs cope with the degeneracy of the genetic code in two manners: having more than one tRNA (with a specific anti-codon) for a particular amino acid; and 'wobble' base-pairing, i.e. permitting non-standard base-pairing at the 3rd anti-codon position.
Source: RNAcentral
GCGAGAGUGGUGGAAUGGUAGACACGCGGGACUUAGGAUCCCGUGGCCUCGGCCGUGUGGGUUCAAAUCCCACCUCUCGCA